GACGAACGCUGGCGGCGUGCUUAACACAUGCAAGUCGAACGGAAAGGCCCUGCUUUUGUGGUGUGCUCGAGUGGCGAACGGGUGCGUAACACGUGAGUAACCUGCCCUUGACUUUGGGAUAACUUAAGGGAACUGGGGCUAAUACCGGAUAGGAGCUCCUGCUGCAUGGUGGGGGUUGGAAAGUUUCGGCGGUUGGGGAUGGACUCGCGGCUUACCGGCUUGUUGGUGGGGUAGUGGCUUACCAAGGCUUUGACGGGUAGCCGGCCUGAGAGGGUGACCGGCCACAUUGGGACUGAGGUACGGCCCAGACGCCUACGGGGGGCCGCGGGGGGGCGUCUUGCCCCGUGGUCGGGAGCCUGAGGCAGCAACGCCGCGGGCGUGAUGACGGCUUGUGGGUAGUAAACCGCUUUCGCCUGUGACGAAGCGGGUGUGACGGUACUGGGUAAAGAAGCACCGGCUCACUACGUG
RNAcentral lists this ribosomal RNA (468 nucleotides) under uncultured bacterium. RNAcentral's name for it is "partial 16S ribosomal RNA". It matches the Rfam family "Bacterial small subunit ribosomal RNA", at positions 28 to 507 of the family's 1533-position model. The record is from RNAcentral.